CUUUGUAGAUGUUUUUCCAUAUCACCUUUGCUCAGUCUAACAUCUACUAACUGGAGUGUCAGCUGAUGAAGUUGGACGAUGUUCCUCAUGGAGAGGAUUUGCAUUUUGCGUCUGUGGUUUCUUCAUACACGCUAAAUCUCAGUUAUCAUCAUCAUUAACUAAUCGCAUUGAUGCCUAGGUCUGAAUAAUUUGUACAUUUGUCAUUUCAGCAUAUAUCAGCUUGCUAGAUUUCUUCAGCUGGCAAUAGAGUGUACAAUCGUUUGUUUGUAAAUCUGGUGUCUGAAUUUAAAACUGCUCUAGAUGUUUAAAACUGCUCUAGAUGAAUAAUUAAGCUAGCUCUAUGUUUAGAUGUAAAGAAGAAUUCAUGAUUUUUUUUCUUCCAGGCCAGCAAGAUUCUCAACACCGGUGCAUUGUUGGCUCUCAAUUUGUGUCUCAUCUUGAUGAGCCCCACCCAAUCUCUAAUUAGUACAGGGACACUAGAAAGCAGCCAUGCAGACAACCUUGGUGCAGGAUCUGUCACCUCCAGAAUUUCAAUUGAAGGUCAUUGUGUGUGUCGCUUGAAUCGGGCAACAUAGGGAUUAAGCGAACUGGCAAAAUUUGUUUGAGCUAGACUUCACUGUUAUUGACCAAGAGUUACCUUCUAAAUAUUGAGGCACUAUGUUUGAGUCAGUAGACACUUUUGUGUUUCUUCCGUCAAGCAUGCCCUGUACAUGCACCUACUGGCCUUAUAUUUCAGGGCAAUAAAAUGGAAGGCUGCAUCCCAGCCAAUCGAAUUGACCAGUUCAGACAUACAGAAAAGGAAGGUUCGAUAAACAGUUUCGAGUCAUUUAUUGUUGCCGCCGUGUGGAGCAAAUACAGGGCAACAGAUCAUACAUAUAGAAUUGAAAUUACCCAACGCAGAGGUUAUCGAAUCGAUUCCUCAGCCUGAAAACUAUCUUCUGUUUGAUGCUCUGCAGUCAUGCGUAGUGGACACUACCGUUCUGUCAGGUUUUCAGUGAAUAGUACAUGUAUGUAAUUUGCUCUAAAACAUCUUGGAUUGCCAAAAAAAAAUUCUUCCACACCAUUUUCUGCAUCAAC
Long non-coding RNA from Lolium perenne, 1077 nucleotides. RefSeq lists it as uncharacterized. NCBI's taxonomy places the organism in Eukaryota, Viridiplantae, Streptophyta, Magnoliopsida, Poales, Poaceae. The record is from RefSeq and is a predicted model, not a curated record.